Molecule: ribosomal RNA, 170 nt
Filed under: Adineta environmental sample
Lineage: Eukaryota; Metazoa; Rotifera; Eurotatoria; Adinetida; Adinetidae
Description: partial large subunit ribosomal RNA
Rfam family: Eukaryotic large subunit ribosomal RNA
Source: RNAcentral
AUAUUAAUAAGCAAAGGAAAAGAAAUCAACUGAGAUUGCCUUAGUAAUGGCGAAUGAACUGGCAAAAGCUCAUUGCUGAAGCAUGUUAAAUUCACUUUUGACAUGCAUUGUAGCAUUUGGGGUGACUAUGUAUAGUGCCUAUUCGUGUGAGUUCCUUUGAUCAGGAUCUU